RNAcentral lists this long non-coding RNA (3399 nucleotides) under Salmo salar (Atlantic salmon). RNAcentral describes it as "lncRNA (ENSSSAG00000090557.1)". The record is from RNAcentral. Lineage: Eukaryota; Metazoa; Chordata; Actinopteri; Salmoniformes; Salmonidae.
CAUUAACUCUGAAUUUUUAAGGUUAGGGUUAAGUUCAGAAAUCACUUUCUAUCGCCGGAUAUGAACUUGCAACCUUUGGAAUCAGAGGCAGAUGCUUCCACCCAUCCGCCAUCCCUUUCCACAACGAAACCUACUUGAAAGUUAACAGCGCUCACGGUCGCCCCCUAGUGGUCUGUUUCCACGUCAUCUCCUGACGUCCUUCGACACGGAUGGACGUCGAAUACUGACUUGUGUCACGUGUGACCUGGCUGGAUUCAUCAGGAGUCUAUUUACUGUAUCGCAUUGAUUCAUCAGGAGUCUAUUUACUGUAUAUCAUUGAUUCAUCGGGAGUCUAUUUACUGUAUAUCAUUGAUUCAUCGGGAGUCUAUUUACUGUAUAUCAUUGAUUCAUCAGGAGUCUAUUUACUGUAUAGCAUUGAUUCAUCAGGAGUCUAUUUACUGUAUAUUAUUGAUUCAUUAGGAGUCUAUUUACUGUAUAUCAUUGAUUCAUCAGGAGUCUAUUUACUGUAUAGCAUUGAUUCAUCAGGAGUCUAUUUACUGUAUAUUAUUGAUUCAUUAGGAGUCUAUUUACUGUAUAUCAUUGAUUCAUCAGGAGUCUAUUUACUGUAUAUCAUUGAUUCAUCAGGAGUCUAUUUACUGUAUAUCAUUGAUUCAUCAGGAGUCUAUUUACUGUAUCGCAUUGAUUCAUCAGGAGUCUAUUUACUGUAUCGCAUUGAUUCAUCGGGAGUCUAUUUACUGUAUAUCAUUGAUUCAUCGGGAGUCUAUUUACUGUAUAGCAUUGAUUCAUCAGGAGUCUACUUUCUGUAUAUCAUUGAUUCAUCAGGAGUCUACUUUCUGUAUAUCAUUGAUCAUAUAUAUACUAUUCAAUGGUUUCUCUAGUUACCUGAUCGCUCUAAAGCUAAACUUACUGCCAACUGCUAUAGCGGAGGAUUAGAAUAAUGUUUGGAUUGAUUAGCUACGGUAUAUAUUGGUAGAAGAUGUGUUUCCUGUGAUGUGGCUGAUUGAUUAGCUACGGUAUAUAUUGGUAGAAGAUGUGGCUGAUUGAUUAGCUACGGUAUAUAUUGGUAGAAGAUGUGUUUCCUGUGAUGUGGCUGAUUGAUUAGCUACGGUAUAUAUUGGUAGAAGAUGUGGCUGAUUGAUUAGCUACGGUAUAUAUUGGUAGAAGAUGUGGCUGAUUGAUUCGCUACGGUAUAUAUUGGUAGAAGAUGUGGCUGAUUGAUUAGCUACGGCAUAUAUUGGUAGAAGAUGUGGCUGAUUGAUUCGCUACGGCAUAUAUUGGUAGAAGAUGUGGCUGAUUGAUUAGCUACGGUAUAUAUUGGUAGAAGAUGUGUUUCCUGUGAUGUGGCUGAUUGAUUAGCUACGGUAUAUAUUGGUAGAAGAUGUGGCUGAUUGAUUAGCUACGGUAUAUAUUGGUAGAAGAUGUGUCUGAUUGAUUAGCUACGGUAUAUAUUGGUAGAAGAUGUGGCUGAUUGAUUAGCUACGGUAUAUAUUGGUAGAAGAUGUGGCUGAUUGAUUAGCUACGGUAUAUAUUGGUAGAAGAUGUGGCUGAUUGAUUAGCUACGGUAUAUACUGGUAGAAGAUGUGUUUCCUGUGAUGUGUCUGAUUGAUUAGCUACGGUAUAUAUUGGUAGAAGAUCUGAUUGAUUAGCUACGGUAUAUACUGGUAGAAGAUGUGUCUGAUUGAUUAGCUACGGUAUAUAUUGGUAGAAGAUGUGUCUGAUUGAUUAGCUACGGUAUAUACUGGUAGAAGAUGUGGCUGAUUGAUUAGCUACGGUAUAUAUUGGUAGAAGGAUGUGGCUGAUUGAUUAGCUACGGUAUAUAUUGGUAGAAGAUGUGGCUGAUUGAUUAGCUACGGUAUAUAUUGGUAGAAGAUGUGGCUGAUUGAUUAGCUACGGUAUAUACUGGUAGAAGAUGUGGCUGAUUGAUUAGCUACGGUAUAUAUUGGUAGAAGAUGUGGCUGAUUGAUUCGCUACGGCAUAUAUUGGUAGAAGAUGUGGCUGAUUGAUUAGCUACGGCAUAUAUUGGUAGAAGAUGUGGCUGAUUGAUUAGCUACGGCAUAUAUUGGUAGAAGAUGUGGCUGAUUGAUUAGCUACGGUAUAUAUUGGUAGAAGAUGUGGCUGAUUGAUUAGCUACGGUAUAUAUUGGUAGAAGAUGUGGCUGAUUGAUUAGCUACGGUAUAUACUGGUAGAAGAUGUGUUUCCUGUGAUGUGGCUGAUUGAUUAGCUACGGUAUAUAUUGGUAGAAGAUGUGGCUGAUUGAUUAGCUACGGUAUAUACUGGUAGAAGAUGUGUUUCCUGUGAUGUGUCUGAUUGAUUAGCUACGGUAUAUAUUGGUAGAAGAUGUGGCUGAUUGAUUAGCUACGGUAUAUAUUGGUAGAAGAUGUGUCUGAUUGAUUAGCUACGGUAUAUACUGGUAGAAGAUGUGUCUGAUUGAUUAGCUACGGUAUAUACUGGUAGAAGAUGUGUCUGAUUGAUUAGCUACGGUAUAUAUUGGUAGAAGAUGUGGCUGAUUGAUUAGCUACGGUAUAUACUGGUAGAAGAUGUGGCUGAUUGAUUAGCUACGGUAUAUAUUGGUAGAAGAUGUGGCUGAUUGAUUAGCUACGGUAUAUAUUGGUAGAAGAUGUGGCUGAUUGAUUAGCUACGGUAUAUAUCGGUAGAAGAUGUGUCUGAUUGAUUAGCUACAGUAUAUAUUGGUAGAAGAUGUGGCUGAUUGGUUAGCUACGGUAUAUAUUGGUAGAAGAUGUGGCUGAUUGAUUAGCUACGGUAUAUACUGGUAGAAGAUGUGGCUGAUUGAUUAGCUACGGUAUAUAUUGGUAGAAGAUGUGGCUGAUUGAUUAGCUACGGUAUAUAUUGGUAGAAGAUGUGGCUGAUUGAUUAGCUACGGUAUAUACUGGUAGAAGAUGUGUCUGAUUGAUUAGCUACGGUAUAUACUGGUAGAAGAUGUGUCUGAUUGAUUAGCUACGGUAUAUACUGGUAGAAGAUGUGGCUGAUUGAUUAGCUACAGUAUAUAUUGGUAGAAGAUGUGGCUGAUUGAUUAGCUACGGUAUAUAUUGGUAGAAGAUGUGGCUGAUUGAUUAGCUACGGUAUAUACUGGUAGAAGAUGUGUCUGAUUGAUUAGCUACGGUAUAUAUUGGUAGAAGAAAUGGCUGAUUGAUUAGCUACGGUAUAUACUGGUAGAAGAUGUGUCUGACUGAUUAGCUAUGGUAUAUACUGGUAGAAGAUGUGUCUGAUUGAUUAGCUACGGUAUAUAUUGGUAGAAGAUGUGUCUGAUUGAUUAGCUACGGUAUAUAUUGGUAGAAGAUGUGUUUCCUAAGAUGUGUCUGAUUGAUUAGCUACGGUAUAUACUGGUAGAAGAUGUGGCUGAUUGAUUAGCUAUGGUAUAUAUUGGUAGAAGAUGUGGCU